UACGUAGGGGGCGAGCGUUGUCCGGAAUCAUUGGGCGUAAAGAGCUCGUAGGCGGUUCAGUAAGUCGGCUGUGAAAUUCCGAGGCUCAACUUGGGAACUGCGUCUGAUACUGGAUGGCUUGAAUUCGGGAGAGGGAUGCAGAAUUCCAGGUGUAGCGGUGAAAUGCGUAGAUAUCUGGAGGAAUACCGGUGGCGAAGGCGGCAUCCUGGACCGAGAUUGACACUGAUGAGCGAAAGCUAGGGGAGCAAACGGG
RNAcentral lists this ribosomal RNA (253 nucleotides) under uncultured bacterium. Its description in RNAcentral is "partial 16S ribosomal RNA". It matches the Rfam family "Bacterial small subunit ribosomal RNA", at positions 524 to 776 of the family's 1533-position model. The record is from RNAcentral.